GCCCAGAUGGCGGAAUUGGUAGACGCGUACGCUUCAGGAGCGUGUGGAUUAAACUCCGUGGAAGUUCGAGUCUUCUUCUGGGCACCA
RNAcentral lists this transfer RNA (87 nucleotides) under Holosporales bacterium. RNAcentral describes it as "tRNA-Leu". It matches the Rfam family "tRNA". Rfam says of the family: Transfer RNA (tRNA) molecules are approximately 80 nucleotides in length. Lineage: Bacteria; Pseudomonadati; Pseudomonadota; Alphaproteobacteria; Holosporales. The record is from RNAcentral.